CCUACGGCGGCUGCAGUGGGGAAUAUUGGACAAUGGGCGAAAGCCUGAUCCAGCCAUGCCGCGUGUGUGAAGAAGGCCUUCGGGUUGUAAAGCACUUUCAGUGGGGAAGAAAGCCUUGGGGCUAAUACCCUCGAGGAAGGACAUCACCCACAGAAGAAGCACCGGCUAACUCCGUGCCAGCAGCCGCGGUAAUACGGAGGGUGCGAGCGUUAAUCGGAAUUACUGGGCGUAAAGCGCGCGUAGGCGGUCUGAUAAGCCGGUUGUGAAAGCCCCGGGCUCAACCUGGGAACGGCAUCCGGAACUGUCAGGCUAGAGUGCAGGAGAGGAAGGUAGAAUUCCCGGUGUAGCGGUGAAAUGCGUAGAGAUCGGGAGGAAUACCAGUGGCGAAGGCGGCCUUCUGGACUGACACUGACGCUGAGGUGCGAAAGCGUGGGUAGCAAACAGGAUUAGAUACCCGAGUAGUC
This 464-nucleotide ribosomal RNA is filed under the name Vreelandella stevensii. Its description in RNAcentral is "partial 16S ribosomal RNA". It matches the Rfam family "Bacterial small subunit ribosomal RNA", at positions 338 to 795 of the family's 1533-position model. Lineage: Bacteria; Pseudomonadati; Pseudomonadota; Gammaproteobacteria; Oceanospirillales; Halomonadaceae. The record is from RNAcentral.